Molecule: ribosomal RNA, 480 nt
Filed under: uncultured bacterium
Lineage: Bacteria
Description: partial 16S ribosomal RNA
Rfam family: Bacterial small subunit ribosomal RNA
Source: RNAcentral
GACGAACGCUGGCGGCGUGCUUAACACAUGCAAGUCGAGCGGUAAGGCUCCUUCGGGAGUACACGAGCGGCGAACGGGUGAGUAACACGUGAGCAAUCUGCCCUUCUCAUCGGAAUAACCAUUGGAAACGAUGGCUAAUGCCGAAUACGACUUCCUUUCGCAUUUCAGGAAGUGGAAAGCUCCGGCGGAGAAGGAUGAGCUCGCGGCCUAUCAGCUUGUUGGUGAGGUAAUGGCUCACCAAGGCGACGAAGGGUAGCCGGCCUGAGAGGGUGACCGGCCACACUGGGACUGAGACACGGCCCAGACUCCGACGGGAGGCAGCAGUGGGGAAUAUUGGACAAUGGGCGAAAGCCUGAUCCAGCAACGCCGCGUGAGGGAUGACGGCCUUCGGGUUGUAAACCUCUUUCAGCAGGGACGAAGCGAAAGUGACGGUACCUGCAGAAGAAGGACCGGCCAACUACGUGCCAGCCGCCGCGGUAA